GAAAAUAUACUGAAAACUCCAGAUAGCCUAAAACUCCGAAAAUCACUGUUCCAUGGAAUUUGUAGAGUGAUCUCGAAGCUUCAGGUUCUGAAAAACAAAUUCCAGUUUGAAUAACGUUGAAAAAUGGCUUGAAUAGUCAUGUUUCAGUAAUUGUGGUUUCCUGAAGUUCCUGGGGUCAUUUCUGGGUUUAUUUGAGUUCAUUCGAGCUGGUUUCUGAGUGUUUCACCGGUGUUGUUCAUUUAAAAUUAACUGUUGGUCUAUUGAGAUAUCAUUUUUGGGUCAAAAU
Molecule: long non-coding RNA, 286 nt
Filed under: Nicotiana benthamiana
Lineage: Eukaryota; Viridiplantae; Streptophyta; Magnoliopsida; Solanales; Solanaceae
Description: long non-coding RNA (NBEN_LNC017459)
Source: RNAcentral